Molecule: non-coding RNA, 30 nt
Filed under: Rattus norvegicus (Norway rat)
Lineage: Eukaryota; Metazoa; Chordata; Mammalia; Rodentia; Muridae
Source: RNAcentral
UAGUUGAAGUCCACAAAAUGGGAUAUCCUU